CUCACCUUAGCUCAGUUGGAAGAGCGUGGGACUGUAACUGGAUAUUGCUUUAUCCCGAGGCCGCUGGUUCGAUCCCGGCAGGUGAGA
Molecule: non-coding RNA, 87 nt
Organism: Mycena floridula
Lineage: Eukaryota; Fungi; Basidiomycota; Agaricomycetes; Agaricales; Mycenaceae
Source: the annotation of a GenBank genome assembly